GAGUUUGAUCGUGGCUCAGGAUGAACGCUGGCGGCGUGCCUAAUACAUGCAAGUCGAACGAACAGAUAAGGAGCUUGCUCCUUUGACGUUAGCGGCCGGACGGGUGAGGUAACACGUGGGUAACCUACCUAUAAGACUGGAAUAACUCCGGAAACCGGGCUAAUGCCGGAUAACGAUGUUGAACCGCAUGGUUCUACAGUGAAAGACGG
RNAcentral lists this ribosomal RNA (209 nucleotides) under uncultured microorganism. RNAcentral describes it as "partial 16S ribosomal RNA". It matches the Rfam family "Bacterial small subunit ribosomal RNA", at positions 9 to 210 of the family's 1533-position model. The record is from RNAcentral.